AGGGGAAUGGCUCAGUGGUAGAGCACAUGCUUAGCAUGCAUGAGGUCCUGGGUUCAAUCCUCAGUACCUCUA
This 72-nucleotide transfer RNA is filed under the name Camelus bactrianus (Bactrian camel). It matches the Rfam family "tRNA". Rfam says of the family: Transfer RNA (tRNA) molecules are approximately 80 nucleotides in length. Their secondary structure includes four short double-helical elements and three loops (D, anti-codon, and T loops). RNAcentral also lists the same sequence under 2 other names. The record is from Rfam by way of RNAcentral. Lineage: Eukaryota; Metazoa; Chordata; Mammalia; Artiodactyla; Camelidae.